GGGCAGACGGGGUGAGUAAAUGUAUAGGGAAAUCUACCUAGUAGUACGGAAUAAUUGUUGGAAACGGCAACUAAUACCGUAUACGCCCUACGGGGGAAAAAUUUAUUGCUAUUAGAUGAGCCUAUAUUAGAUUAGCUAGUUGGUGGAGUAAUAGCCUACCAAGGCAAUGAUCUAUAGCUGAUCUGAGAGGAUGAUCAGCCACACUGGAACUGAGAUACGGUCCAGACUCCUACGGGAGGCAGCAGUGGGGAAUAUUGGACAAUGGGCGAAAGCCUGAUCCAGCCAUGCCGCAUGAGUGAAGAAGGCCUUUGGGUUGUAAAGCUCUUUUAGUGAGGAAGAUAAUGACGGUACUCACAGAAGAAGUCCUGGCUAACUCCGUGC
This 381-nucleotide ribosomal RNA is filed under the name uncultured Pseudomonas sp. RNAcentral's name for it is "bacterial SSU rRNA". It matches the Rfam family "Bacterial small subunit ribosomal RNA", at positions 96 to 508 of the family's 1533-position model. The record is from RNAcentral. Lineage: Bacteria; Pseudomonadati; Pseudomonadota; Gammaproteobacteria; Pseudomonadales; Pseudomonadaceae.